This 276-nucleotide ribosomal RNA is filed under the name uncultured prokaryote. RNAcentral describes it as "partial 16S ribosomal RNA". It matches the Rfam family "Bacterial small subunit ribosomal RNA", at positions 524 to 800 of the family's 1533-position model. The record is from RNAcentral.
UACGUAGGGGGCUAGCGUUAUCCGGAUUUACUGGGCGUAAAGGGUGCGUAGGCGGUCUUUCAAGUCAGGAGUGAAAGGCUACGGCUCAGCCGUAGUAAGCUCUUGAAACUGUAAGACUUGAGUGCAGGAGAGGAGAGUGGAAUUCCUAGUGUAGCGGUGAAAUGCGUAGAUAUUAGGAGGAACACCAGUUGCGAAGGCGGCUCUCUGGACUGUAACCGACGCUGAGGCACGAAAGCGUGGGGAGCAAACAGGAUUAGAUACCCCCGUAGUCCCUGA